This 486-nucleotide ribosomal RNA is filed under the name uncultured bacterium. Its description in RNAcentral is "partial 16S ribosomal RNA". It matches the Rfam family "Bacterial small subunit ribosomal RNA", at positions 30 to 507 of the family's 1533-position model. The record is from RNAcentral.
AUUGAACGCUGGCGGCAUGCCUUACACAUGCAAGUCGAACGGCAGCACGGGUGCUUGCACCUGGUGGCGAGUGGCGAACGGGUGAGUAAUACAUCGGAACAUGUCCUGUAGUGGGGGAUAGCCCGGCGAAAGCCGGAUUAAUACCGCAUACGAUCUACGGAUGAAAGCGGGGGACCUUCGGGCCUCGCGCUAUAGGGUUGGCCGAUGGCUGAUUAGCUAGUUGGUGGGGUAAAGGCCUACCAAGGCGACGAUCAGUAGCUGGUCUGAGAGGACGACCAGCCACACUGGGACUGAGACACGGCCCAGACUCCUACGGGAGGCAGCAGUGGGGAAUUUUGGACAAUGGGCGAAAGCCUGAUCCAGCAAUGCCGCGUGUGUGAAGAAGGCCUUCGGGUUGUAAAGCACUUUUGUCCGGAAAGAAAUCCUUGGCUCUAAUACAGUCGGGGGAUGACGGUACCGGAAGAAUAGGCACCGGCUAACUACGUG